RNAcentral lists this ribosomal RNA (742 nucleotides) under Bacillus cereus. RNAcentral describes it as "bacterial SSU rRNA". It matches the Rfam family "Bacterial small subunit ribosomal RNA", at positions 717 to 1460 of the family's 1533-position model. Lineage: Bacteria; Bacillati; Bacillota; Bacilli; Caryophanales; Bacillaceae. The record is from RNAcentral.
GAAGGCGACUUUUUGGUUUAUAACUGACAUAGAGGCAGAAAAGCGUGGGAAGCAAACAGAGUUAGAUUCCCUGGUAUUCCACGCGUUAAAAGAUGAGGGUUAAGUGUUGAAGGGUUUCCGCCCUUUAGUGCUGAAGUUAACGCAUUAAGCAUUCCGCUUGGGGAGUACGGCCCCAAGGCUGAAAUUCAAAGAAAUGGAGGGGGGCCCGCCCAAGCGGUGGAGCAUGUGGUUUAAUUGGAAGCAACGGGAAGACCCUUACCAGGUCUUGACAUCUUCUGACAACCCUAGAGAUAGGGCUUUUCCUUCGGGAGCAGAGUGACAGGUGGUGCAUGGUUGUGGUCAGCUCGUGUCGUGAGAUGUUGGGUUAAGUCCCGCAACGAGCGCAACCCUUGUUUUUAGUUGCCAUCAUUAAGUUGGCCACUUUAAGGUGACUGCCGGUGACAAACCGGAGGAAGGUGGGGAGGACGUCAAAUCAUCAUGCCCCUUAUGCCCUGGGCUACCCACGUGUUCCAAUGGACGGUACAAAGAGCUGCAAGACCGGGAGGGGGAGCUAAUCUCAUAAACCCGUUUUCAGUUCGGAUUGUAGGCUGCAAUUCGCCUCCAUGAAGCUGGAAUCGUUAGUAAUCGGGGAUCACCAUGCCGCGGGGAAUACGUUCCCGGCCCUUGUCCACCCCCCCCGUCCCACCACGAGAGUUGGUACCACCGGAAGUCGGUGGGGUAACCUUUGGAGCCAGCCGCCUAA